UUUCCGUAGGUGAACCUGCGGAAGGAUCAUUCGUAAUAAAGUGUUUUAUGGCACUUUUUAAAAAUCCAUAUCCACCUUGUGUGCAAUGUUAGAUCUCGUCAAUCUUGGCGAGAUUUUUAUACAUCAACUCAUUCUUUAACUAAUUUGUCUGAAAAAUAUUAUGAAUACUUAAUUCAAAAUACAACUUUCAACAACGGAUCUCUUGGCUCUC
This 211-nucleotide unclassified non-coding RNA is filed under the name plant metagenome. RNAcentral describes it as "partial contains small subunit ribosomal RNA, internal transcribed spacer 1, and 5.8S ribosomal RNA". The record is from RNAcentral.